AAGUCCGUAACGAGCGCAACCCUGUCCUUAGUUACCAGCACGUUAUGGUGGGCACUCUAAGGAGACUGCCGGUGACAAACCGGAGGAAGGUGGGGAUGACGUCAAGUCAUCAUGGCCCUUACGGCCUGGGCUACACACGUGCUACAAUGGUCGGUACAAAGGGUUGCCAAGCCGCGAGGUGGAGCUAAUCCCAUAAAACCGAUCGUAGUCCGGAUCGCAGUCUGCAACUCGACUGCGUGAAGUCGGAAUCGCUAGUAAUCGUGAAUCAGAAUGUCACGGUGAAUACGUUCCCGGGCCUU
This 299-nucleotide ribosomal RNA is filed under the name uncultured Pseudomonas sp. RNAcentral describes it as "partial 16S ribosomal RNA". It matches the Rfam family "Bacterial small subunit ribosomal RNA", at positions 1082 to 1382 of the family's 1533-position model. Lineage: Bacteria; Pseudomonadati; Pseudomonadota; Gammaproteobacteria; Pseudomonadales; Pseudomonadaceae. The record is from RNAcentral.